GCGAUCAUACUAGAACUAAUGCACUGAAUCUCAUCAGAACUCCGCAAUUAAGAAUAUUUAUACGAGAGUAGUACUAGAAUGGAUGACCACCUGGGAAGUCCUCAUGUUGCACUCU
Molecule: non-coding RNA, 115 nt
Organism: Ilex paraguariensis (yerba mate)
Lineage: Eukaryota; Viridiplantae; Streptophyta; Magnoliopsida; Aquifoliales; Aquifoliaceae
Source: the annotation of a GenBank genome assembly